RNAcentral lists this unclassified non-coding RNA (210 nucleotides) under plant metagenome. RNAcentral's name for it is "partial contains small subunit ribosomal RNA and internal transcribed spacer 1". The record is from RNAcentral.
AAAGUCGUAACAAGGUCUCCGUUGGUGAAACCAGCGGAGGGGAUCAUUUACCCGAGUUUUACAAACCCCCCAAACCCCCAUCGUGAACAUACCAAUUGUUGCCUCGGCGGAUCAGCCCGCUCCCCGGUAAAAACGGGACGGCCCGCCAGAGGACCCCCUAAACUCUGUUUCUAUAUGUAACUUCUGAGUAAAACCAUAAAUAAAUCAAAA